RNAcentral lists this ribosomal RNA (301 nucleotides) under uncultured bacterium. RNAcentral's name for it is "partial 16S ribosomal RNA". It matches the Rfam family "Bacterial small subunit ribosomal RNA", at positions 509 to 808 of the family's 1533-position model. The record is from RNAcentral.
CAGCCGCCACGGGAAUACAGAGGGUGCGAGCGUUAAUCGGAUUUACUGGGCGUAAAGCGUGCGUAGGCGGCUUCUUAAGUCGGAUGUGAAAUCCCUGAGCUUAACUUAGGAAUUGCAUUCGAUACUGGGAAGCUAGAGUAUGGGAGAGGAUGGUAGAAUUCCAGGUGUAGCGGUGAAAUGCGUAGAGAUCUGGAGGAAUACCGAUGGCGAAGGCAGCCAUCUGGCCUAAUACUGACGCUGAGGUACGAAAGCAUGGGGAGCAAACAGGAUUAGAUACCCCGUAGUCCCUGUCUCUUAUACA